This 527-nucleotide ribosomal RNA is filed under the name uncultured Actinomycetes bacterium. RNAcentral describes it as "bacterial SSU rRNA". It matches the Rfam family "Bacterial small subunit ribosomal RNA", at positions 8 to 522 of the family's 1533-position model. Lineage: Bacteria; Bacillati; Actinomycetota; Actinomycetes. The record is from RNAcentral.
AGAGUUUGAUCAUGGCUCAGGACGAACGCUGGCGGCGCGCUUAACACAUGCAAGUCGAGCGAGAACCGGUUCUUCGGAACCGGGGAAAGCGGCGAACGGGUGAGUAACACGUGAGUAAUCCACCCUCGGCACCGGGAUAGCCCGGGGAAACUCGGAUUAAUACCGGAUGGCCCAGCAGCUCUUCGGGGCGGUUGGGAAAGGUAGCUUCGGCCUCCGGCCGAGGACGAGCUCGCGGCGGAUUAGCUUGUUGGUGGGGUAAUGGCCUACCAAGGCGACGAUCCGUAGCUGGUCUGAGAGGACGAUCAGCCACACUGGGACUGAGACACGGCCCAGACUCCUACGGGAGGCAGCAGUGGGGAAUCUUGCACAAUGGGCGAAAGCCUGAUGCAGCGACGCCGCGUGAGGGAAGAAGGCUUUCGGGUUGUAAACCUCUUUCAGGAGGGACGAAGCUACUCGGGUUAAUAGCCCAGAGGGUGACGGUACCUCCAGAAGAAGCCCCGGCUAACUACGUGCCAGCAGCCGCGGUA